GCCCAGGUGGCGAAAUCGGUAGACGCAAGGGACUUAAAAUCUCUCUCCGAAUGGAAUGCGGGUUCGAGUCCCGCUCUGGGCACCA
RNAcentral lists this transfer RNA (85 nucleotides) under Acidithiobacillus ferrianus. RNAcentral's name for it is "tRNA-Leu". It matches the Rfam family "tRNA". From Rfam's summary of the family: Transfer RNA (tRNA) molecules are approximately 80 nucleotides in length. Their secondary structure includes four short double-helical elements and three loops (D, anti-codon, and T loops). The record is from RNAcentral. Lineage: Bacteria; Pseudomonadati; Pseudomonadota; Acidithiobacillia; Acidithiobacillales; Acidithiobacillaceae.